This 240-nucleotide long non-coding RNA is filed under the name Homo sapiens (human). Its description in RNAcentral is "HSALNT0172864". Lineage: Eukaryota; Metazoa; Chordata; Mammalia; Primates; Hominidae. The record is from RNAcentral.
GACUUACAGAGAGUUGGAGUGAGAAUUCCUCAGCAGUGGGGUGGAACCUGUGGACCCAUUGUGCGGUAACUUUGGUGAGGAAGGCAAAGAAGAAUCCGUCAUCUCCUCAAUAUCUGAAUGAGAGGACGCAGAUUUUGGGGACUUCUUCUUCCCGAAAGCUUGCUUGAAGGAGCUGCGUAACUGAAUAUACAAGAAGACCUCGCCACCCAUCCAAGAUAACACAAAAUGAGUGAGAAGUGU